AACGAACGCUGGCGGCAUGCCUAACACAUGCGAGUCGAACGAGACCUUCGGGUCUAGUGGCGCACGGGUGCGUAACGCGUGGGAACCUGCCCUUAGGUUCGGAAUAACUCCCCGAAAGGGGUGCUAAUACCGGAUAAUGUCUUCGGACCAAAGAUUUAUCGCCUUUGGAUGGGCCCGCGUUGGAUUAGCUAGUUGGUAGGGUAAAAGCCUACCAAGGCGACGAUCCAUAGCUGGUCUGAGAGGAUGAUCAGCCACACUGGGACUGAGACACGGCCCAGACUCCUACGGGAGGCAGCAGUGGGGAAUAUUGGACAAUGGGCGAAAGCCUGAUCCAGCAAUGCCGCGUGAGUGAUGAAGGCCUUAGGGUUGUAAAGCUCCUUUACCCGGGAUGAUAAUGACAGUACCGGGAGAAUAAGCUCCGGCUAACUCCGUG
RNAcentral lists this ribosomal RNA (433 nucleotides) under uncultured bacterium. Its description in RNAcentral is "partial 16S ribosomal RNA". It matches the Rfam family "Bacterial small subunit ribosomal RNA", at positions 29 to 507 of the family's 1533-position model. The record is from RNAcentral.